GGAAGGGGUGUAUUUAUUAGAUAAAAAACCAAUGCCCUUCGGGGCUCCUUGGUGAAUCAUAAUAACUUAACGAAUCGCAUGGCCUUGCGCCGGCGAUGGUUCAUUCAAAUUUCUGCCCUAUCAACUUUCGAUGGUAGGAUAGUGGCCUACCAUGGUGGCAACGGGUAACGGGGAAUUAGGGUUCGAUUCCGGAGAGGGAGCCUGAGAAACGGCUACCACAUCCAAGGAAGGCAGCAGGCGCGCAAAUUACCCAAUCCGACACGGGGAGGUAGUGACAAUAAAUACUGAUACGGGGCUCUUUUGGGUCUCGUAAUUGGAAUGAGUACAAUCUAAAUCCCUUAACGAGGAACAAUUGGAGGGCAAGUCUGGUGCAGCAGCCGCGGUAAUUCCAGCUCCAAUAGCGUAUAUUAAAGUUGUUGCAGUUAAAAAGCUCGUAGUUGAACCUUGGGUCUGGCUGGCCGGUCCGCCUCACCGCGAGUACUGGUCCGGCUGGACCUUUCCUUCUGGGGAAUCUCAUGGCCUUCACUGGCUGUGGGGGGAACCAGGACUUUUAC
Molecule: ribosomal RNA, 554 nt
Filed under: uncultured Aspergillus
Lineage: Eukaryota; Fungi; Ascomycota; Eurotiomycetes; Eurotiales; Aspergillaceae
Description: SSU rRNA
Rfam family: Eukaryotic small subunit ribosomal RNA
Source: RNAcentral